CUGGAGACUAAGGAAAUAGAGUUGUUGGAAUCAAGUUUACUCUGCCCUUAGUUUCCUAUAUAGAAUAGGUCUCGCAUGCAAGAUAAAUUCAAGAACUACUUAUCUUCAAACAGCA
Molecule: small nucleolar RNA, 115 nt
Organism: Erinaceus europaeus (western European hedgehog)
Lineage: Eukaryota; Metazoa; Chordata; Mammalia; Eulipotyphla; Erinaceidae
Source: Ensembl